Triticum urartu is the source of this 496-nucleotide non-coding RNA. The record is from RefSeq and is a predicted model, not a curated record. NCBI's taxonomy places the organism in Eukaryota, Viridiplantae, Streptophyta, Magnoliopsida, Poales, Poaceae.
UAUAGAAGAACAAGGCGGCACACAAGGAGCUGCCUGAAUUGCAGUGGCAGCGGUGUUGUAAUAUGCUUACAGUAUUUCAGGCCUCUAUUCCAGCACACACAUUCCAGUUGCCAUUGGUGAGCAAAUGAGAUAUGAAGUUACCAGUGAUUUUCAUUAUACAUGGUAAAAAUAAUGCAAAUCAUGCUUUAUGGAGAGUUGAAAUACUGACUAUUGAUCGGAGAAAAUUUAUUGGUGACAACUACCCAAGAACAUUGAGAAUAGCGCCAGAAAUUCCUUUUGCUGAUAUCACAAAUUUUGUGCCAUGGUCCAUAAAGAGAACAAGUGCUGGUGUGUGUUCCGAUCCAGUAAAUUUUCUUCAUGUGCCACACAAGUGGAGACGACUCUGCUUUUUUACCAUGAUCUUGAGGGUUAUGAGCUUUAUGACAAUAAUGACUCUCAAGUUCAGCAAGAGCUCGUACAAAAGAUAUGGAAAGUGUUUGAGACUAUACUAGAAGAG